Non-coding RNA from Rattus norvegicus (Norway rat), 2240 nucleotides. NCBI's taxonomy places the organism in Eukaryota, Metazoa, Chordata, Mammalia, Rodentia, Muridae. The record is from RefSeq and is a predicted model, not a curated record.
AACCAGUCAACAGGUACUGGGUGGAAUUAUAGGUUACUGUAUUUGCUUUGGCUCUGGGGUAGCAUCCCUUAUCUGUGUUAGAAGGCAUUUCCUUUCCCUCACUGAGGAAAUCGGGCAUUACUUCAAGGAAGUGCCCAUCAGAAGUUCCAUGUGGGUCAGCUGCCAUGGAAACCGUUACCCAGCACCUCAGUGAAAGGAUCACCAUGCUGGAGCCUGAUGGAAGCUCAGGACUGAUUUCUUCAGAGCUUGGCAAUCAACACACUCUAUGGCCAGCAGUGGUGGCCCUGCAUUUGUCCGUGGAAACUAGAGGUCAGGCUCCAGUAGGAAAAAACAGCCUCAGAAACUUCCUCUGAUUCGACCAUUAGGGACGGUAGAUGACAGUAAUGGAGGCUGCCAGGGGACAUGACAGUACUGCUUUUUAGGGCAAAGGAGAAACAUCCCCUCCGAGCUUUUGUAAGAGGGAAAUGGACUUGAACCCUUGCCGGCCACACAGGGCUGGUUGGUUGUCACACACUUACGUCUGAUAGAACACGGUAGGCAGAGAAGAAGAAGCCAGUCCAUGUUGACCAGGGCCUGGGAAGAAACUUUCCAUUCUCAAUGAACAAGCAGCAGAUACAAAUGCCGGGCUGUGAAGAUUCUAAGAAGGCAAGGAACAUCGCACAUAUGACAGAGCAGAGGGGACAGCAGCUUUCCAUCUUCCUGGCCUUGGCUCCGCUCCUCAACAGGACUAAAUGGGAGGAUUAAGGAACCUCACCAGGAAGGGAGAUACCGGCUGCAGUCACAAAUGCACAGGAAAAAUGACUUCUUCCACUGGGGAAGUCACUUGCCCCAUGUGCAGAACAGGAAGGAGCUGGGAGAAGGGAAAACCCAAUGCCUCACCGCCAGGCCCACUUGUUACCCUGGAGAGUUUGUUCACACAGUCCCACUGACCCUGCAUCUAUCCAGCACCGAUCGGUGGUAAUUUCAAGUGACAUAACAUCAAUGGGAGAUUCUGAGAUACAUCAAGAGAGGCAGAAUUGGUAAUGUGCCUACAAUGGGCUACCAAAGGCAACAAAAGGAAGGGACUGUGAAGGAUAAAUGGCUUGGGGAUCAGAUCAAAGAAUUUGCCACCAAUCACAGAGACAAACUGUGCCUCAACAUUUGUGACCCCACACCUGCUGGAAGAAGGUCAUAGCUCUAAACAAACACUGCACAUGUGGGCACAUAUAAACAUGCACACAUGCAGAGGUCACACUAAGGCAAAGCAAGUCAGAGAUAUCAAACUGGAGUAUUAACCAGAAGACAGGACACCUGUGUAGACCGAGGAGUACCAAACCAGACGGAAAAAUUAAGACUACACGGCAGUCUGCAGUAAGGAGAAACAGCCUUCUAUUCCAAACAACUCGUUGAUGGGUCACAGAGCAGAACUCCUCUGUCCUAAAUGGGGCUGUGAGUCUAACGGACAUGCCAGAUGGGUGGCUAGCUCCCGAAGCCAGGCCGAUGGCAGGGGGAAACCUGCAUACGGUUUUCUACCUCAGGCGUUCUUGGCAAGAAUCAUCGCCCACCUGUUGCAAAGCCUGUCUGUGGGAAAGAAACACACAUGGUCAUGGGUCCACAUAUGGAGCCUGCUAAGGUCAAGUCUAAGGCUCUUCCUUCCAGGAGAGACCUCAGGACCUCGAUAACUCCUUCCCCAAUUCCCUGGUCUGAGGAGAGAGUCUGUGCAUAAUAAACAGGGGGCUGCUACCAACAACCUGCUGAAGUUUCACCCUGGAAGGAGAGUCCCUCGGAGGUGUCAGGUGCUACCAGGAUAAGUACAUAUUCUCUCACAUUGUAACCUUCAGUUCUUCUAAGUGAGAAGGCAUUCCUAACUGCACCGUUCUGGAUGCAUUAGUCUUUGGUUGAGACUAACUCUUACUGUGUGCCCAAGGCUGGACUCAGACUUAAGCAUGCUGACAUUACAGGCACGAAUAACUCCAGGACUCAGCUUUUCUUUAAAGAUGCCCUAUGUCUUAGGUCUCCUACCAGCCUGAGCCCUGGUGUCAGUAACCCCCAGCCUCUUCGAAAGAUUACAAGAAAGACAUUGUCUCUUCUGAGCCUGGGAAAAGAAAAAUAAGAUUUCAAGAAGCACCCUGAUAGUAAAGAGCUUGAGAAGACAGACUCGGCCUUCCAGAAGGGACGGACGGGAUGGGACUCAGGAAAGGGAAAGAAACAGAAGCUAUGACCACAGUACAGAGUACUGAUUAAAGGAAAGGAGCAGAGCA